UACGUAGGUGGCAAGCGUUAUCCGGAAUUACUGGGCGUAAAGCGCACGCAGGUGGUUUUCUAAGAUUGACGUGAAACCUUCUGGCUUAACUGGAAGACGUCGUUGAUGACUGGAAGACUUGAGGCGAGGAGAGGGGUGCAGAAUUCCCGGUGUAGUGGUGGAAUGCGUAGAGAUCGGGAGGAAUACCAGUGGCGAAAGCGGCACCCUGGCCUUGGCCUGACGCUCAGGUGCGAAAGCGUGGGGAGAGAACGGG
This 253-nucleotide ribosomal RNA is filed under the name uncultured bacterium. RNAcentral's name for it is "partial 16S ribosomal RNA". It matches the Rfam family "Bacterial small subunit ribosomal RNA", at positions 524 to 776 of the family's 1533-position model. The record is from RNAcentral.